This 492-nucleotide ribosomal RNA is filed under the name uncultured bacterium. RNAcentral describes it as "partial 16S ribosomal RNA". It matches the Rfam family "Bacterial small subunit ribosomal RNA", at positions 29 to 507 of the family's 1533-position model. The record is from RNAcentral.
AGUGAACGCUGGCGGUAGGCCUAACACAUGCAAGUCGAACGGCAGCACAGUAAGAGCUUGCUCUUACGGGUGGCGAGUGGCGGACGGGUGCGGAAUACAUCGGAAUCUACUUUUUCGUGGGGGAUAACGUAGGGAAACUUACGCUAAUACCGCAUACGACCUACGGGUGAAAGCAGGGGAUCUUCGGACCUUGCGCGAUUGAAUGAGGCGAUGUCGGAUUAGCUAGUUGGAGGGGUAAAGGCCCACCAAGGCGACGAUCCGUAGCUGGUCUGAGAGGAUGAUCAGCCACACUGGAACUGAGACACGGUCCAGACUCCUACGGGAGGCAGCAGUGGGGAAUAUUGGACAAUGGGCGCAAGCCUGAUCCAGCCAUACCGCGUGGGUGAAGAAGGCCUUCGGGUUGUAAAGCCCUUUUGUUGGGAAAGAAAAGCAGCAGGUUAAUACCCCGCUGUUCUGACGGUACCCAAAGAAUAAGCACCGGCUAACUUCGUG